Molecule: long non-coding RNA, 726 nt
Filed under: Ananas comosus (pineapple)
Lineage: Eukaryota; Viridiplantae; Streptophyta; Magnoliopsida; Poales; Bromeliaceae
Description: long non-coding RNA (ACOM_LNC036164)
Source: RNAcentral
AUUAAGAAAAUAUAUUUUGUAAUUAAAAAAUAUAUGUGCGGGUACCCGUGGGUACCCGCGAGUUACCCAAAAUGCCCACUGCUUAAUGAGUAUCCACCUGUUUCACCCGUAAUUUUUUGGGUUGAAAAAGUUGGUAACCAUAUCUGCAAAUUUGUGGGUAACCCACGGGUAGCCGCGGGUUUGGGUCAAGAUUGUUAGGUCUACUUAUAAGUCAUUAAAUGAUUGAAAUCGAAUGGAUAAAAAUAAUUAGAUAGCAAAAUUAAUAAAUGCUUCUGCACGCAUCUCUGAACAAAAAUUUUGCGGGCAUUGUCCCCAAACAAAUUGUUGUUUGGGGACGAUGCCGAUGGGCACAGCAUGUUGUGCGGGUGCCCAUCUAGAGAUGUCAACAAGUCAAAUUCGGGAAGGAUUUUCAAAACCCGAAUCCGACGGAUUUUAAAAAUUCAUAUCUAAAUCCGAAUCCGACCAAAAAUUCGAAACUCGAACCCGAAAAUUUGAACCCGAAACAAUAAUUUUUUUUCAAUAUUUUAAAAUAUAAUACAUUAAAUAACAUUAAUUUUUUUUUAUAUAUAUAUAUAAUGCAUAAUAAAUUUGGGUUCAGAUCAAGUUUGGGUUUGAAGGGACAGUCAAAAUUCAUAUCCGAAUUUAUAUUCAUUAAAUUUUUAUUUUUGAUAUACAUAUCGUAAUUCAUAUCCGUUUAGCACGAAAUAUUUCUGCUUUAUUCGGAUU